This 28-nucleotide non-coding RNA is filed under the name Bombyx mori (domestic silkworm). Lineage: Eukaryota; Metazoa; Arthropoda; Insecta; Lepidoptera; Bombycidae. The record is from RNAcentral.
CUGUCAAAGAAUAACGCAGGUGUCCUAA